UAGUAAGCCUCCAGUGUUCCUGGGUCUACAGCCACCCUGUGCACUCCUAUAAUGCUUACCAGAGAAGCUCUUGAGAUAGUUUGCAGCUUUGUUCUGCUCUCUCCAGAACAAGGUUUCAGAAAUUUCAGACAAUU
This is a small nucleolar RNA of Jaculus jaculus (lesser Egyptian jerboa), 134 nucleotides long. The record is from Ensembl. Lineage: Eukaryota; Metazoa; Chordata; Mammalia; Rodentia; Dipodidae.